CACUUUGGAAGAGGGGAGGAAAGAGUGGUAGUGGGGGUAUCAUGAAUCAUGUAACCAUGGGAAAAUAUUUUAAAUAAAAUUUUUUUUGAAUAUAUAUUUUAAUAUCCUUUUAAAUAAACAUUCUUUUUUUUUCAAUUAAUGCAUGCGUUCUGGUUUACAGGAUGUGUCAUCAGUGGUUGUCCUUUGAAUUCUCUUGCCCUUCAUACUGUGGAAAAAGGAAAGGACUUCAUUGGUCAUUUGAUCUCCUCUACCUUUCUCUUAGAAAAUCACAGUUGAGAGGUACAACAGAAGUCCCUUCUCUCCAAGAUGCACUGAAGGGGAAGAAGGAAGUGAUUGUUAUACCCAAGAAAAAAGCCAAAUACAAGGCCUUAAAGGUUAAAAAGGCAAUAAUGAAGAAUAUUCACAGCCAUAAAAGGAUCAGAACAUCCCCCAUUUUCCAGUUACCUAAGACACGAAUACUUCAAAGGCAACACAAAUACAUUCAGAAGAGUUUCCCUCAGAGAAAUGAAAUUGAUAACUAUGACCACUGAGUACAUUAAGAAGAAGAUUGAGGACAACAACAUCCUCAUCUUUGUUGUGAACAUCAAGACUAUCUGUAUCAAGAUCAAGAGGCAAUAGUGAACUACCAAAAAACUUUUUUACUGAAUUAGAAAAACCCAUAGCAAAGUUCAUUUGGAAGAACAAGAGAUCAAGGAUAUCUAGGGAAACAAUGAAAAAUAAAUACCAAGGAAUGUGACCUUGCA
RNAcentral lists this long non-coding RNA (743 nucleotides) under Monodelphis domestica (gray short-tailed opossum). Its description in RNAcentral is "lncRNA (ENSMODG00000042264.1)". The record is from RNAcentral. Lineage: Eukaryota; Metazoa; Chordata; Mammalia; Didelphimorphia; Didelphidae.